AUGAUUUGUUGUUGCUGUUCUUCUCCUUCCUCUGCGCUGAUGUUGGUGGGAGAUCCUGCUUUGUCCGGGCAGAUGGCCCGGCCGCGGUGCUGGACCGGUCGGAUGACUCGAGUUCUCUUUCUUCUGGAAGGGACAAUUUUCGCAGUACUCAAAGCCAAAGAUGACGACAGCUGUUGCACGUGUGUUGGAUUGAUGUUCAUGCCCUCUCAGCGCUGGUGUCAAGAAAGGAGGGAGCAGCGUGGCGACAAUUGUACCGUGGUUGAAGAUGAUGACCUGCUUGCGACUGGUUGCAGAUCCUUCUGUUGCAGGGGUGUUCUCUCAAGAUUCAGGGAUAAUGACACAGGGCCCCGGAGUCUUCUUGUGUUAUGGUUGUCUUAG
Molecule: ribosomal RNA, 378 nt
Filed under: Triticum aestivum (bread wheat)
Lineage: Eukaryota; Viridiplantae; Streptophyta; Magnoliopsida; Poales; Poaceae
Description: partial small subunit ribosomal RNA
Source: RNAcentral